AGAAAGUUUGAUUCUUGUUUAAAUUUUAACAUUAUGGUUAAAAAUAUAUGUAAAUUUUUGUGUGGAAGAUUAAUUAUUAAAAAUAAAUGGUUAUAAAAAGUCGCAGUAUUUAGUAUUAAAUAUAAAUUGAGGUUUGAUUUGGUAACUAUAACAACUCUGAUUAAAUUUUGUGCCAGCAUUCGCGGUUAGACUUAGAGGGUAAGUUAAAAUAUAUUUGGUUUUUAGUUAAUAUGGUGAAGUAGGAGUUUGUUUUAAUAAUAGGUGAAAUUAGUUAAUUAAAAUAAAAGUAAGAUUGUAGAAGUAUGAGGCUAAAAAGAUUAAGAGAUAAACUAGGAUUAGAUACCCUAUUAUACUUAAUUUAAAAGUUUAAAGCUAAAAUAUUAAUAGUUAUGUUCUUAAAAUUUAGAGAAUUUGGCGGUGUUUUAGUCUGUUUAGAGGAACCUGUUUCGUAAAUGAUACACCUCAAAAUAUCUUACUUGCUUUAAGAGUUUGUAUACCGUCAUUAUUAGAUAAUUUUUAUAGAAAAAAUUAUUACAAUAAGUUUUUUAGUAUAUUAGAUCAAGGUGCAGCUUAUAGGUAAGUGAAAAUGGGUUACAAUAAUAUUUAUUUAUAACGGAUUAAGUUUUGAAAUAAAAUUAUGAAGGUGGAUUUAAUUGUAAUAUAAGUUUAAUAAGCUUGUGUGAUAUUAGCUCUAAAUUAUGUACAUAUUGCCCGUCGCUUUCAUUAUCAAAAUGAGAUAAGUCGUAACAUAGUAGUUAUACUGGAAAGUGUAUCUAGUUAUAA
RNAcentral lists this non-coding RNA (783 nucleotides) under Lauridromia dehaani. Lineage: Eukaryota; Metazoa; Arthropoda; Malacostraca; Decapoda; Dromiidae. The record is from RNAcentral.